Coffea arabica (coffee) is the source of this 2381-nucleotide non-coding RNA. The record is from RefSeq and is a predicted model, not a curated record. Lineage: Eukaryota; Viridiplantae; Streptophyta; Magnoliopsida; Gentianales; Rubiaceae.
UCUUAAGUUGAACUGCAUUAUCUGGAUUGGAGCAUGCCCGCACCGGAUCCAAAUUUCCAACUUAUUUAGGUAAUUAAUCAAAGGUUAUCCCAAUUUCCCAAAACAAGACAUGAAAGGCAGUGGAUAAACGCAUGAGAUUGGUUUCUACUAAGACGCCAAUAAUGGUGUUCCCAGAAGAUUGAAAGAAAAAGAGGCAGAAAAGGGCACUUCCUCUGAGUGAAGAAGUCAUUGGACUUCCACAAACAUCAUCAUUCUUCCGUAAGACCGCUCCUUCAUCUGCGUGUCUGGUUUGUCUCUUUUCUGUUUGAUGUAAUGCCCCACCGAGGUGUUAGAAGCAAAGCUCUUUUAAGACAAUUUUUAUUGUAUUUACGCCUGCCAUUUGUGAAUGAGGUUACGUUCAAUAGUAAUGAUAAUGCAUUUCGCUACUUACAAUGGCGAUUGAUGACUACCAGCAAAAGGGUUCAAGAGAGGAGCAAGAGAAAACGUGUCCAUGAUCUUGAGGUGGCUCUGGAAAAGCACAAAGUACUGUCCAAGAUUCUAUUUUUCUUUGAAAUUUUAAAGCAAGAGCCUGAACAAAUCGUGCCCAUUAAAAGUUUAGAUAGGUACAGAAGGCAAAUUAACCUCCCUAAACCCCAUAAACUAUCAGCUUUUCUUCGGAAAUCGCCUAAGCUUUUCGAGCUGUACAAGGAUCAGAGAGGGGUCUUGUGGUGUGGGAUGACGAAAAUGGCUGAGGAAUUAGUGGAGGAAGAGGGAAGAAUUAUUGAGGAGAAUAGCGAUAAGGCUGCUGAAUAUGUUACUAGGAUGUUGAUGAUGUCAGUAGAUAAACGACUUCCAUUGGAGAAGAUUGCACAUUUUAGGAGGGAUAUAGGGUUGCCAGUGGAUUUUAGGAGCCGUUGGGUGCAUAGAUAUCCUGAAAAUUUUAGAGUCGUGCGGCCGUUUAAACCGUAUGAUGAGGGGGAAUAUUUGGAACUUGUUGAGUGGAAGUCUAGUUGGGCAAUAACAGAAUUGGAGAAGAAGUCAGGGAUGGUUGAGGAGUUGAGUGGUGGCGAUCACGUUCCAGGGCUGCUUUCGCUGUCGUUUCCUAUGAAGUUUCCUCCUAAUUAUAAAAAGGUCUUGUCACGAUAUUAUCCACAAAUUGGGAAUUUUCAGAAGAGAGAAUAUUUGUCUCCGUAUGCAGAUGCUAGAGAUCUGAAAGCUGGCUCACAAGAAUUUGAUAAGAGGGCUGUGGCAGUUAUGCAUGAGCUACUGAGUUUUACAACUGAAAAGAGGGUGGUAACUGAUCAUUUGACACACUUUAGAAGAGAAUUUGUGAUGCCUCAAAAGUUGAUGCGAUUGUUGCUGAAGCAUUUUGGUAUCUUUUAUGUUUCGGAGAGGGGGAGGAGGUUUAGUGUCUUUCUCAAUGAGGCCUAUGAAGGUUCAGAAUUGAUAGAAAAGCAUCCCUUGGUUGUUUGGAGGGAAAAAGUCAAUGGACUUAUAGAUUACAGAAAGAAAAAGAAGAGAAUUGGGACUGUUGAAGUUUUACAUGAUAUAGAUGAUAAGGACCUGUUUGAGAGUGAGUCUGAGAAUGACAGUAUCUUGUUGGAUCAUGAACAGGAGGAGACCAUGGGUAAUCUAGAGGAUGCUUCACCUGCAGACAGUUCAGAGAUGGAGAUUGAAGAGAUUUAUGCGGCAUACCAGGACUGAAACUUCACGAGUUUAUAGGAAUUGUUCACUCAGGAACUUUAAGGUUGUUAAAAUGAUGAAAUGACCGUGAAUGGAGAACAGUCAACUGCAUUAUUCAAUGGGUAAAGUGCUGAAUCCACGAGAGGAGACUAUAUGGUGCAGGGUAUGAGACGCACAGGACUUCAAAAGGCAAUGUUGUUGCAAGUUGCCGACUCAGGCUGAGAAAUUACUCACCUCAGCUUUAAUAUGUUACCAUUUAGCUCCGUCCUUGGGUCUUAAUUGGCCUCCAGCUUUUGUAACUUUUAGCUCAGAAGUCCGUAGGGAAGAGAAUCUCGGUAGUUUUGGUUGGUGUCCAGGAGUCCAAACUAGAAGUACACAUUGCAAAUCCUCAAAACAAUCUCCCCCCCCCCCCCCCCCACCCAAAGAAACCCCCAACCCGCACGCACACACACACACACAACCACCACAAAAACCGUAGACGAAGAAAUAGAUGGCGUAGUGUUUUCAAUUUCUGGCUCUGGAGAGUGUGUGAGUUGCAUAGAGAUUUAUUAUUUUGCUUGUCAUUAAUGGCUUUGACCUUGAGAGUAGACGUCAACGGAGUGGGGAUUCAACCGAAUCAACUCAAGGCCUCCAUAUUUUCUUGGGCCUUGUUCUGUGUGUAUUAAUUCUUUUAACCUAUUAAUCCUAUGAAUCACACAAUAUUGUAGUAGGAUGACGCA